This 439-nucleotide ribosomal RNA is filed under the name uncultured bacterium. RNAcentral describes it as "bacterial SSU rRNA". It matches the Rfam family "Bacterial small subunit ribosomal RNA", at positions 551 to 988 of the family's 1533-position model. The record is from RNAcentral.
UUACUGGGCGUAAAGCGCGCGUAGGCGGUUUGUUAAGUCAGAUGUGAAAUCCCCGGGCUCAACCUGGGAAUGGCAUUUGAGACUGGCAGGCUAGAGUAUGGUAGAGGUGAGUGGAAUUUCAGGUGUAGCGGUGAAAUGCGUAGAGAUCUGAAGGAACAUCAGUGGCGAAGGCGACUCACUGGGCCAUUACUGACGCUGAGGUGCGAAAGCGUGGGUAGCAAACAGGAUUAGAUACCCUGGUAGUCCACGCCCUAAACGAUGUCAACUAGGUGUAUGGAGAAAAUAUUCUUUGUGUAUCGAAGCUAACGCGAUAAGUUGACCGCCUGGGGAGUACGGUCGCAAGACUAAAACUCAAAUGAAUUGACGGGGGCCCGCACAAGCGGUGGAGCAUGUGGUUUAAUUCGAUGCAACGCGAAGAACCUUACCUGGCCUUGACAUG